RNAcentral lists this ribosomal RNA (468 nucleotides) under uncultured bacterium. RNAcentral's name for it is "partial 16S ribosomal RNA". It matches the Rfam family "Bacterial small subunit ribosomal RNA", at positions 28 to 507 of the family's 1533-position model. The record is from RNAcentral.
GACGAACGCUGGCGGCGUGCUUAACACAUGCAAGUCGAACGGAAAGGCCCUGCUUUUGUGGGCUGCUCGGGUGGCGAACGGGUGAGUAACACGUGAGUAACCUGCCCUUGACUUUCGGGUAACUUCAGGAAACUGGGGCUAAUAUCGGAUAGGAGCUCCUGCUGCAUGGUGGGGGUUGGAAAGUUUCGGCGGUUGGGGAUGGACGCGCGGCUUAUCAGCUUGUUGGUGGGGUAGUGGCUUACCCAGCCUUGGACGGGUCGCCGGCCUGAGAGGGUGACCGGGCACAAUGGGACUGAGAUACGGACCAGACUCGUACGGGAGGCAGCAGUGGGGAAUAUUGCACAAUGGGCGGGCGCGUGAUGCAGCAACGCCGCGUGCGGGAUGACGGCCUUCGGGUUGUAAACCGCUUUCGCCUGUGACGAAGCGUGAGUGACGGUAAUGGGUAAAGAAGCACCGGCUAACUACGUG